This 780-nucleotide ribosomal RNA is filed under the name uncultured Neocallimastigales. RNAcentral's name for it is "partial large subunit ribosomal RNA". It matches the Rfam family "Eukaryotic large subunit ribosomal RNA", at positions 22 to 629 of the family's 3401-position model. Lineage: Eukaryota; Fungi; Neocallimastigomycota; Neocallimastigomycetes; Neocallimastigales. The record is from RNAcentral.
GUACACGCUGUGACUAGCAUAUCAAUAAGCGGAGGAAAAGAAACUAACAAGGAUUCCCCUAGUAACGGCGAGUGAAGCGGGAAGAGCUCAAAUUUGAAAUCUUAAAGGGUUUUCCCUUUACGAAUUGUAGUUUAAAGAAGUGUUUUUCUGUUGAGGUUUUGGUAAAAGUUCUUUGGAAUAGGACAUCAUAGAGGGUGAGAAUCCCGUAUUUGACCUUUACUUUCAACUUUGUGAUACACUUUCGAAAGAGUCGGAUUGUUUGGGAAUGCAGUCCAAAAUGGGUGGUAAAUUUCAUCUAAAGCUAAAUAUUGGCGAGAGACCGAUAGCGAACAAGUACCGUGAGGGAAAGAUGAAAAGAACUUUGAAAAGAGAGUUAAACAGUACGUGAAAUUGUCAAAAGGGAAGCGUUUGACACCAGUGUUGUCUUUUCUGAAAAUCAAUUAAAGGAACUGUUUAUGCUAAGCUGUUUAGACUUUAUCAGCUAUCUGUUUAGUUUUGAGCUUUUCUUUAAUGCACUUUUCAGUUAACAAGUCAACAUCAAUUUCUUUUGCUGUAAAAAAAGCUUGAGGAAGGUGGCUUGAGAUUCGUCUUAAGUGUUUAUAGCCCCUUGCCUAUGCAGUCGGAGAGAUUGAGGUCUGCAGCGUAGAUCCUUCGGGGCUAAAUGCAUUUGUGCUAAGUUAUAGCAUUUUAUAGACAACUUGUUGACUAUGAUUUGUCUUGUAGCUUACUCGCUUAUGUUAUUUUACCUACGCUUAGGAUGUUGAUAUGCAUGACUGAUAU